AUCAAGCAUGAGUAUAAAAUGUUUGGAGUUAGCUCGGUGAGCCCUCUUUGCUCGGUCUCCUCAGCCUACUGACAGCUCAUGUUCAACCACAGACGCAACUGGUUAUCAACCUAUUCUUCCUCUGGAAUUUCACUUUGUGCCAUCAAUCUGAAAGAAAAUAAAUCACCAGAACGGAA
Long non-coding RNA from Eleginops maclovinus (Patagonian blennie), 176 nucleotides. RefSeq lists it as uncharacterized. Lineage: Eukaryota; Metazoa; Chordata; Actinopteri; Perciformes; Eleginopidae. The transcript has 2 exons. The record is from RefSeq and is a predicted model, not a curated record.